RNAcentral lists this ribosomal RNA (778 nucleotides) under uncultured bacterium. Its description in RNAcentral is "bacterial SSU rRNA". It matches the Rfam family "Bacterial small subunit ribosomal RNA", at positions 1 to 725 of the family's 1533-position model. The record is from RNAcentral.
CCCUUACCGGUACCUUGGUACCACCCUUAGAGUUUGAUCCUGGCUCAGAACGAACGCUGGCGGCGUGGAUUAGGCAUACAAGUCGAGCGAGAACCGUAGUGCUAGCAAUAGUACUUGGGGACAGCGGCGAAAGGGUGAGUAAUAAGUAGUCAAUCUACCCAAUUGACCGGGAUAACGUCGGGAAACUGGCAGUAAUACCGGAUAGUCUUAAGAAUUCGCAUGUUUUCUUAAGUAAAUGGUGGCCUCCUAUAGAAGCUUCCGCAGUUGGAGGGGACUACUUCCUAUUAGUUUGUUAGUGGGGUAAUGGCCUACCAAGACAAUGAUGGGUAGCCGACUUUAGCGAGUGACCGGCCACACUGGGACUGAGACACUGCCCAGACUCUUACGGGAGGCUGCAGUCGAGAAUCUUCUGCAAUGAACGCAAGUUCGACAGAGCGACGCCGCGUGUAGGAUUGAAGGCCCUUGGGUUGUAAACUACUGUUACAGGUUAAGAAAUAUCAGGUUAUUAAUAGUAGCUUGGUUUGACAAAGGCCUGGGAGAAAGCCACGGCUAACUUCGUGCCAGCAGCCGCGGUAAGACGAAGGUGGCAAGCGUUGUUCGGAAUUACUGGGCAUAAAGCGCGUGUAGGCGGUCGAUUAAGUCUGAUGUGAAAGCCCUCGGCCCAACCGGGGAAUGGCGUCUGAUACUGAUUGACUUGAGAGUUGGAGGGGUGCACGGAAUACCUGGUGGAGCGGUGAAAUGCGUUGAUAUCAGGUGGAACACCAAAGGCGAAGGCAGU